Molecule: unclassified non-coding RNA, 720 nt
Filed under: Hevea brasiliensis (rubber tree)
Lineage: Eukaryota; Viridiplantae; Streptophyta; Magnoliopsida; Malpighiales; Euphorbiaceae
Source: RNAcentral
AAAAAAUAUCAUGGAAAAGGGAUUCUCAUGGCACCUGCCAGAGAAUGAACACUCUAAUAGUUGCACAGUCAUAAUUCCUGGCGGUGUCCAUAGUUUGCCAAACACAGGAGUUCCUUCACCAUUGAUUCACCGAUGGAGAUCUGGUGGAUCAUGCGACUGUGGAGGUUGGGAUGUUGGUUGUGAACUCCGUAUCCUAUCCACUGAAAUCCAACACAAGAAGCUUCCAAGGACAUCCAAUGCUUGCCUGAGAUCAAAUCGAUUUGAACUUUUUGUUCAGGGAGAAGCACAAGAUACUCCCAUCUUCAGCAUGACACCAGUUGAGAAGGGGAAGUACUCAGUUGAGUUCAGUCCAUCAAUUUCUUUGUUACAGGCGUUCUUCAUUUGUGUCACAAUUAUAAGCUGCCAGAAAUCAUCUGAUCUCGCUGAACAGAGUAACGUGUCCAAAGAAAAAGUUCAUCAGGAAUCCAGAAAUGCAAAUGGACUGAAGAAGAUUCGCACCACUGUCCUGGGGGAAGCACCUGUGAAAUACACUCCAAGUCCACCUGUUUCACCUGUUGGAAGGAUCUAGCUUUAGGCCUGGAGGAGCUCUUAAACAGGGAUCCUGAUGUAGCAGAAGUCAUGUUUGGCUGUCAUAAUUUUGUAUCAAUUAUGUUACAUUACCAAAAUCCCUCCCUUGUAUAAUGAAAAUAAUGCAACCAAUUAUACCCCUCCCAAAGAGAG